Molecule: transfer RNA, 68 nt
Filed under: Marmota monax (woodchuck)
Lineage: Eukaryota; Metazoa; Chordata; Mammalia; Rodentia; Sciuridae
Description: tRNA.Ala
Source: RNAcentral
GGAUUGUGGCUCAGUUGUAGAACGCUCACCUAGCGUGUGCGAGGCCCUGGGUUCGAUCCUCGGCACCA